Molecule: ribosomal RNA, 510 nt
Filed under: uncultured bacterium
Lineage: Bacteria
Description: partial 16S ribosomal RNA
Rfam family: Bacterial small subunit ribosomal RNA
Source: RNAcentral
GACGAACGCUGGCGGCGUGCUUAACACAUGCAAGUCGAACGAAGAGCGAUGGAAGCUUGCUUCUAUCAAUCUUAGUGGCGAACGGGUGAGUAACGCGUAAUCAACCUGCCCUUCAGAGGGGGACAACAGUUGGAAACGACUGCUAAUACCGCAUACGAUCUAACCUCGGCAUCGAGGAUAGAUGAAAGGUGGCCUCUACAUGUAAGCUAUCACUGAAGGAGGGGAUUGCGUCUGAUUAGCUAGUUGGAGGGGUAACGGCCCAACAAGGCGAUGAUCAGUAGCCGGUCUGAGAGGAUGAACGGCCACAUUGGGACUGAGACACGGCCCAGACUCCUACGGGAGGCAGCAGUGGGGAAUCUUCCGCAAUGGACGAAAGUCUGACGGAGCAACGCCGCGUGAGUGAUGACGGCCUUCGGGUUGUAAAGCUCUGUUAAUCGGGACGAAAGGCCUUCUUGCGAAUAGUUAGAAGGAUUGACGGUACCGGAAUAGAAAGCCACGGCUAACUACGUG